GGGAGAGUGGCCGAGUGGUUAAAAGCGACAGACUGUAAAUCUGUUGAAGGUUUUCUACGUAGGUUCGAAUCCCGCCUCUCCCA
This 83-nucleotide transfer RNA is filed under the name Haplopteris ensiformis. RNAcentral describes it as "tRNA-Tyr". It matches the Rfam family "tRNA". Rfam says of the family: Transfer RNA (tRNA) molecules are approximately 80 nucleotides in length. Their secondary structure includes four short double-helical elements and three loops (D, anti-codon, and T loops). Lineage: Eukaryota; Viridiplantae; Streptophyta; Polypodiopsida; Polypodiales; Pteridaceae. The record is from RNAcentral.